UUUCUCUAGAUGCUGGAUGAGGAGGACACUGACAAAGACGGGAUGAGUUUGGAGGUCGACACUCCAGUGACGAACCAUCGGGGUGACGACGACGAUGACGAAGAAGAUCUCCCCGAGAUAGUGCUGGAUGACGUGCCUGCGGUGAGGGUGGCGGGACGGCCUCCAUUCGCUCCGCGGGUAAGUUGGGUUUUUAGUCUGAGCUCGCAGUGUUGCUCUAUUUCCCCUCCGUGGACAUUAAGUUAUGACAGCCUGAGCCUGCACGUUCCAGACCAUGUGGACGGUUCCGAGGGUUGGGACUCCAUGUCAGGCGCGUCUGUUGCCAACUCCCGAUGCCUGCUUCCGCAGGGCAAUGCGAUAACAACACCUGUCCCAGCCUGCAGAGGACAGAGCUCCUUCUCCAGAAGCAUCUUUUCCUCGAGGGAAAGAGUUCUGUCAUCUCCAACUGACAUGGCCUUGG
Molecule: long non-coding RNA, 457 nt
Filed under: Sus scrofa (pig)
Lineage: Eukaryota; Metazoa; Chordata; Mammalia; Artiodactyla; Suidae
Description: lncRNA (ENSSSCG00070011284.1)
Source: RNAcentral